GGUUAUAGUUCAGGGGUAGAGUGCUCGCCUCACAUGUGUGAGGCACUGGGUUUGAUCCUCAGCAUCA
This 67-nucleotide transfer RNA is filed under the name Marmota monax (woodchuck). Its description in RNAcentral is "tRNA.Val". Lineage: Eukaryota; Metazoa; Chordata; Mammalia; Rodentia; Sciuridae. The record is from RNAcentral.